RNAcentral lists this ribosomal RNA (471 nucleotides) under uncultured bacterium. Its description in RNAcentral is "bacterial SSU rRNA". It matches the Rfam family "Bacterial small subunit ribosomal RNA", at positions 355 to 825 of the family's 1533-position model. The record is from RNAcentral.
UGGGGAAUAUUGGACAAUGGGCGAAAGCCUGAUCCAGCCAUGCCGCGUGUGUGAAGAAGGUCUUCGGAUUGUAAAGCACUUUAAGUUGGGAGGAAGGGCAGUAAGUUAAUACCUUGCUGUUUUGACGUUACCGACAGAAUAAGCACCGGCUAACUCUGUGCCAGCAGCCGCGGUAAUACAGAGGGUGCAAGCGUUAAUCGGAAUUACUGGGCGUAAAGCGCGCGUAGGUGGUUUGUUAAGUUGGAUGUGAAAGCCCCGGGCUCAACCUGGGAACUGCAUCCAAAACUGGCAAGCUAGAGUACGGUAGAGGGUGUGGAAUUUCCUGUGUAGCGGUGAAAUGCGUAGAUAUAGGAAGGAACACCAGUGGCGAAGGCGACCACCUGGACUGAUACUGACACUGAGGUGCGAAAGCGUGGGGAGCAAACAGGAUUAGAUACCCCAGUAGUCCCUGAGCGGGCUGGCAAGGCGCAU